Molecule: microRNA, 22 nt
Filed under: Sus scrofa (pig)
Lineage: Eukaryota; Metazoa; Chordata; Mammalia; Artiodactyla; Suidae
Description: ssc-mir223
Source: RNAcentral
UGGCUCCACACCACAGACUGUC